UAAUACCCCAUAGAUAUUCAAUGCUGGAAGGCUUGGAUAUCGAAAGCGCAAGCGCCAGAGGGUGAGUCUGCGGCCUAUCAGGUAGUAGGUGGUGUAACGGACCACCUAGCCUAAGACGGGUACGGGCCUUGAGAGAGGGAGCCCGGAGAUGGGUUCUGAGACACGAACCCAGGCCCUACGGGGCGCAGCAGGCGCGAAACCUUCGCACUGCGCGAAAGCGCGACGAGGGGAGCCCGAGUGCCUCUCCAUUUCGGGGAGGCUUUUCACAAGCCUAAAAAGCUUGUGGAAUAAGGGCUGGGCAAGACGGGUGCCAGCCGCCGCGGUAAUACCCGCAGCUCGAGUGGUGGUCGCUUUUAUUGAGCCUAAAACGUUCGUAGUCGGCCUUGUAAAUCCCUGGGUAAAUCGGACCGCUUAACGGUUCGAAUUCCGGGGAGACUGCAAGGCUAGGGACCGGGCGAGGUCAGAGGUACUUUCGGGGUAGGAGUGAAAUCCUGUAAUCCCGAAGGGACCACCUGUGGCGAAAGCGUCUGACUUGAACGGCUCCGACGAUGAGGAACGAAGGCUAGGGGAGCAAACCGGAUUAGAUACCCGGGUAGUCCUAGCUGUAAACUCUGCCCGCUUGGUGUGGCCUGUCCUUCGGGGGCAGGCUGUGCCGGAGCGAAGGUGUUAAGCGGGCUGCUUGGGGAGUACGGCCGCAAGGUUGAAACUUAAAGGAAUUGGCGGGGGAACACCGCAACGGGAGGAUGCGUGCGGUUUAAUGGAUCAACGCCGGAAA
Molecule: ribosomal RNA, 775 nt
Filed under: uncultured Thermoplasmatales archaeon
Lineage: Archaea; Methanobacteriati; Thermoplasmatota; Thermoplasmata; Thermoplasmatales
Description: bacterial SSU rRNA
Rfam family: Archaeal small subunit ribosomal RNA
Source: RNAcentral